This 30-nucleotide unclassified non-coding RNA is filed under the name Dictyostelium discoideum. Lineage: Eukaryota; Evosea; Eumycetozoa; Dictyosteliales; Dictyosteliaceae. The record is from RNAcentral.
UCGUAGGCUCCAUCUUGUAAAGACAAUGAU